Molecule: long non-coding RNA, 220 nt
Filed under: Mytilus galloprovincialis (Mediterranean mussel)
Lineage: Eukaryota; Metazoa; Mollusca; Bivalvia; Mytilida; Mytilidae
Source: RNAcentral
AUUAGUAUUGUCAUCUGAUAAAGUCAUGCCGAUUAUAAGAUACACAGUUUUUCUCUGCUUUCAAGUCUUUCUGUUUGAACCCGUCGAACUGAAACAAUAAUAUUAAUUAUUUGGAAAAGAAAAGGUCCUGGAAUGGAGUAUUUUUUAAUCAACAGCAUUGUCCUAUAUAAGUUAUAAAUAAAGUUGAAUUCUUUGCUUCGCUGUUUUACGUCAUGCCCAC